GACGAACGCUGGCGGCGUGCUUAACACAUGCAAGUCGAACGAGAAGAGAUGAGAAGCUUGCUUCUUAUCGAUUCGAGUGGCAAACGGGUGAGUAACGCGUAAGCAACCUGCCCUUCAGAUGGGGACAACAGCUGGAAACGGCUGCUAAUACCGAAUACGUUCUUUUGUCGCAUGGCAGAGGGAAGAAAGGGAGGCUCUUCGGAGCUUUCGCUGAAGGAGGGGCUUGCGUCUGAUUAGCUAGUUGGAGGGGUAACGGCCCACCAAGGCGACGAUCAGUAGCCGGUCUGAGAGGAUGAACGGCCACAUUGGGACUGAGACACGGCCCAGACUCCUACGGGAGGCAGCAGUAGGGAAUAUUGCACAAUGGAGGAAACUCUGAUGCAGCCAUGCCGCGUGUGU
This 399-nucleotide ribosomal RNA is filed under the name uncultured bacterium. Its description in RNAcentral is "bacterial SSU rRNA". It matches the Rfam family "Bacterial small subunit ribosomal RNA", at positions 28 to 406 of the family's 1533-position model. The record is from RNAcentral.